GGAAUGUUAGUAAACUUAUUACAUAGCCUUGUCAAGACUAAAUAAUGGGUUAAAACCCCAUACACUCCU
This 69-nucleotide transfer RNA is filed under the name Botaurus stellaris. Its description in RNAcentral is "tRNA-Asp". It matches the Rfam family "tRNA". Rfam says of the family: Transfer RNA (tRNA) molecules are approximately 80 nucleotides in length. Lineage: Eukaryota; Metazoa; Chordata; Aves; Pelecaniformes; Ardeidae. The record is from RNAcentral.